Molecule: ribosomal RNA, 301 nt
Filed under: uncultured bacterium
Lineage: Bacteria
Description: partial 16S ribosomal RNA
Rfam family: Bacterial small subunit ribosomal RNA
Source: RNAcentral
CAGUCGCCGCGGUAAUACGUAGGGUGCGAGCGUUAAUCGGAAUUACUGGGCGUAAAGCGUGCGCAGGCGGUCCGUUAAGACAGAUGUGAAAUCCCCGGGCUUAACCUGGGAACUGCAUUUGUGACUGGCGAGCUAGAGUAUGGCAGAGGGGGGUAGAAUUCCACGUGUAGCAGUGAAAUGCGUAGAGAUGUGGAGGAAUACCGAUGGCGAAGGCAGCCCCCUGGGCCAAUACUGACGCUCAUGCACGAAAGCGUGGGGAGCAAACAGGAUUAGAUACCCGCGUAGUCCCUGUCUCUUAUAC